This is a long non-coding RNA of Microtus ochrogaster (prairie vole), 2149 nucleotides long. RefSeq lists it as uncharacterized. Lineage: Eukaryota; Metazoa; Chordata; Mammalia; Rodentia; Cricetidae. The record is from RefSeq and is a predicted model, not a curated record. The transcript has 3 exons.
ACUUGAGUUUGGUUCCAAGCACAGAUGGUAAGUGGCUCACAGCCGCAUGGAACCCCAGUCCCAGAAGAUCCGUGACCUCUGACCCCCAUGGGCACCUGUAGCCAUGUGUGUACAGGAACACACACACACCGGAAUCUAGUGGUGAGCAUUCCUCCCUGCCGAGCCCCUUACAAGACCCUGGUUGUCCUUUUGCAAGACCUCCUUCUGGAUUUGCGCACGUGUCUGGUUAAGGCAUGCUUUGGCUAUUGUUCUCGCCGAUGAAGAGAUGCACAGAGACCCACCAGAGGAGGUCUGGUGGAAAUGUGAUGGCCAUCAAGCCCUAACUCCGUUCCAGUUAGGAGUCCUUGCCAGGGAAAUGAAAGAGCUUGGUGGGAAUCGGGGCCCAGCACAUCCCUAGCCACCGUGCAGGCCAGCUGAAGAAUCAAGCAAUGUGAAGGAAGAGAAAUUUCUUCUCUGUGGCCACGUCGGGAAGAAGACCAAAGAGGUCCAGCAGUGUUCCAGGUUCCCUGCCCAAAGCCGUCGUUGGGGUUCUGACAUGAGGCUUAGGUUUGAAUAGAAGCCAGAAGGAUGCUGAGCGGUCUUGGGGCAGGUGCGGCCCUGCCCAUCACUGACCCAUCCUUAUCUCUGCCCCAGUCUCCAUUGCAAAGCUGUCUGACAAGUUGUCAGAACUGUGUAGGGUCACUUCCCAAGUGACAAGACCAUCUUCUGGCUGGCACCAGGCUCCAACCUUUCCCCUUUCCCAGCCAGAGAUUCCCAGGGAAAUUCCAGCUUCUUGGAGACCAUUGCUUCGUAGCCCAAGAGCCGGAUGGAGCAGUGCUGGAAUAUCUCAUAUCUUCGUCCCACCACGAUGGUGAUGAUACAGGGUUCUCUGCAGGCUCCCUUGUGGCUGGUAUAAAGCUAGCCGUGCGGGCGGCCAGGCUACUUACUCCUCACUACAGUCUUCAUUGGUGUGAGCCAGCCCCAGUGGUUUCUGUUCUGCCAACAUCCACAGCCUGGUGGCGGAAGCCAUUCAAGCUAUUACAGACCUGCAUAUCAGUGGGGUGGUGCCUUGGCUGAGAGUUCAGGCAAAAGAAGAGUGAUAUGGUUGUGUGUGUGGUGUGUGGAGGGCACAGGACUCCUUUGCGGACACCCUAAAGUGUAAGAGUUCAAGGCUAUGUGUAGUAGUGCAUGCCCUUAAUAUCAGCUCUUGGGAUGCAGAGAUAGGUGGAUAGAUCUCUGGGUGUGAGGUUGAGGCCAGCCUGGUCUACAUAGCAAGUUCCAGGGCAGCCACAGUUACACAGUGAUCUCUGUCUUUACAAAAAAUAAACAGAAGGUUAGGAGCACCUACGACCCCUUUCCCAAGUCCUGGUUUGAGUCCUGGCAGAUUCUCUGCUGUGAGCCCAUGUAUCUUUUCGUUUCUGAAGUUAGUGGGCACAGGACAGGUAGAGAGCUACCCAGGAAGCACAAUCCACUAUUGCACAGUCUAGUCGGCAGCUCAUGCCACCUGUUCAGCCCCCACAGCCUCUCCUUCAGCCCCCAGCUGCCUUUCUGCCCUCUCAGAGUCCAGAGUUGUCUGCACAGAGCUAAGUGUCUGCUCUUGAGUCUCCAGCUUCCAGGAUUCCUGUGGUCAAGACCCCAGCUGUUUUCGAUUGUCUCUGAAGUGUUUUGCUACUGGGAAGCCUCAAGUAACUCCACAGAGAGACAUAAAUGAAGGCAAUAACUUGGCCGUCAGAGGCUUUGCACAGCAUUUUCACCCCAGCACCUUGGCACACUGCAAGGCAGCACUCAGCCAAGACAGGGAGGGAGGGGAAUCUCCUGCUCUGUGUCUGCCUCAGGCGACUCUGUGCUCCACAACAGGGGCCAGUUGCAGAGGGGGUCAGGCCGGCCUCGAGCAUACAGCACAGACCUUGGGAGGAAGCCAAGAUGUCCCUGAGAAGCGCUGGAUCCCACACCCUAUUUCCUUUGACUCUACCUGGUCACAGGCAUGCAGAUAAAGGCAUCUGUCAGGAGCCAUUUCCCCCAAAAAAUAUUGCAGGAACCAUUGUCCUGGGGAGUUUGCAGAGAGCCCCACACCCCAAUGGUAUUAAGAACUGUUUGUUGGCAGAGCCUACCCCACACCCAACUAUCUUGAGAGCUAUCUGUUAGUGGAACCUGCCCCACAUUCCAACUA